UACAGAGGGUGCGAGCGUUAAUCGGAAUUACUGGGCGUAAAGCGUGCGUAGACGGUUAUUUAAGUCGGGUGUGAAAGCCCCGGGCUCAACCUGGGAAUUGCAUUCGAGACUGAAUAGCUAGGGUACGGUAGAGGGAAGUGGAAUUUCAGGUGUAGCGGUGAAAUGCGUAGAUAUCUGAAGGAACAUCAGUGGCGAAAGCGACUUCCUGGACCAAUACUGACGCUCAUGUGCGAAAGCGUGGGGAGCAAACAGG
Molecule: ribosomal RNA, 253 nt
Filed under: uncultured bacterium
Lineage: Bacteria
Description: partial 16S ribosomal RNA
Rfam family: Bacterial small subunit ribosomal RNA
Source: RNAcentral